UGUGUAGGUGGUUGGGUAAGUUAGAUGUGAAAUCCCCGGGCUUAACCUGGGAACUGCGUUUAAAACUGCUCGACUAGAGUAUUGCAGAGGGUAGUGGAAUUUCCAGUGUAGCGGUGAAAUGCGUAGAUAUUGGAAGGAACACCAGUGGCGAAGGCGACUACCUGGGCAAAUACUGACACUGAGACACGAAAGCAUGGGGAGCAAACAGGAUUAGAUACCCUGGUAGUCCAUGCUGUAAACUAUGAGAACUUGCUGUUGGAUGCAUAAAGGCAUUUAGUAGCGAAGCUAACGCGUUAAGUUCUCCGCCUGGGGAGUACGGUCGCAAGACUAAA
Molecule: ribosomal RNA, 332 nt
Filed under: uncultured Legionella sp.
Lineage: Bacteria; Pseudomonadati; Pseudomonadota; Gammaproteobacteria; Legionellales; Legionellaceae
Description: bacterial SSU rRNA
Rfam family: Bacterial small subunit ribosomal RNA
Source: RNAcentral